RNAcentral lists this ribosomal RNA (253 nucleotides) under uncultured bacterium. Its description in RNAcentral is "partial 16S ribosomal RNA". It matches the Rfam family "Bacterial small subunit ribosomal RNA", at positions 524 to 776 of the family's 1533-position model. The record is from RNAcentral.
UACGGGGGGAGCAAGCGUUGUUCGGAUUUACUGGGCGUAAAGGGCGCGUAGGCGGCGUGACAAGUCAGUUGUGAAAUCUCCGGGCUUAACCCGGAGCGGCCAAGUGAUACUGUCGUGCUAGAGUGCGGAAGGGGCUACUGGAAUUCUCGGUGUGGCGGUGAAAUGCGUAGAUAUCGAGAGGAACACCUGCGGCGAAGGCGGGUAGCUGGGCCGACACUGACGCUGAGGCGCGAAAGCCAGGGGAGCGAACGGG